GCCAGCCAAGUAUGGACUGAACCUCCACAAACUGGACUCGGCCAGCAGCAGAACCAUCAAAGGAAGACCUUACGUCACAAUGGUCCUUUUUCAGCCAGAGCUUCUCCUUCUAGGUCCAGGAACAGCUCCUCCCUGGCCCCACCAGCGUGGGGUGGUGACAGCUAUGAGGUGAUGCUAUCGCCAGGGUCCUGUGUAACGUGUCAUGGUUUCCCGGGACACCUGUAUACCCACUCAAUUAUCCCCCUCCGAGGUCCUGGCCAGCUACCGUCCCACAGGAAUGGGAUACCUCCACAAACCAAGCACGUGAGGACUAACACUUCUAUGAGUGUGUGAGAAAUUACACCCAGCUUUGGAAUGGGGAAAAGAGAAGUGAAAGAAAAAUGUUUCUUCUAUUCUAGGUCUAUGCUUACCAGUUAUCUCAUUGUCUUUUGUGAAGCCUACACAGCAGUGCAAAGUACAAUUGCUAAUGUGUAAAAUUAGAGAUUAUAUUUUUUAAAAGGAAACUGCUUAUCAUCACACCGAGCUUGCAGUAACACUGCCUGUGCAUGGCUUGGGAGAAGGACUCGAUGGGAGGAUCCGUGGGUCACAUGCGGACCAGGUGUGUGUUUUCAGUCAAGUCUCCUUAUCUCUCUGCACCUGAUUUGUCACCCGAAGACUGACAGCAAUAGCAAGGCUGUUGUGAAAAUUACCUAAAUUAAAAUAAGCAAAGGUCUUACCACAACUGUCCACGGCACACAGUCAGCACCACGCCUCUGUUUUCCAUUAUUAUUCUUCUGAAAGACUGAAGACACAGCCACCGGCUGGGCCUUGGAUUCCUCUUCACAGUGUCAGAGGUCUUUCUGGCUGAGAAACAUCCCCUGUUCAUUCCUUUGCCUUUGAACAAACUUCAGAAAGACCUGGGAAACUGGUAUAAAGGCAGACAGUCCACGGUCAAAGCUAGGCUGACAGCCGUAUACAUGCCUCUAUGGACAUUUUUAUACACAUAUAUGCACCAACACACGUGUGCAUAUAGUUGUGCAAUUGCACACAGUCACACGUAGACUUACACACCGUCACCCACACAGUCUCACAUACUGAACUAGGCCGACUUAGAGCCUGUUAUCCCCAUAUUGUCCAGCAGAGGGCGCAGCCUCCACACUCAGGAGCAGAAGAGGCCUCCACAGCAGCCAGGGGCAGGACUCGGCCUGGUUGUUCUGCGAGAAUCACAUACGCAGAUGUAGCAGCAGCGUCCUGGGGACCUGCAGACCCACCCUUCCCACCCUCUCCAUCCACUCACCGUCACGGUCCUUCGAGGGAUCUCAAAGCCUAUUUGGAAUAAGAAAGAAGACUUUAAUAUACCCCAAGUAUAAAUUCCCCUUUAGAAACUCUGUCCACAUGGGCAAAGAUUACAUGAAAAUGCAGGAGAAGGAAGAGGAAGAGGAGAGAGAGGAGGAAGAAGAAAAGGUGGAGUGGAACGAGGAGAAGAAGAAAGAACUGGAUGGGUACGAGCAGCUAUUAACAAUGCUUAUUUAACAUGCUGGUAGUGGAGGUGAUUUUUGUCUUGCUUUUGCUUGCUUACACUCCUAUAACUAUGUCUUGGCAUAAAACACAUCUCAACCUUCCACUGAGAGUAUACCAAAUGUUUUUCAUCUCAUUUUGCACUGUUCAUUUCUCAUUUCAUAACCAUAUUCAGCACAGGUGACCAGUCUGUGGCCUCCCCAAGGCCCUCACCCUUGGACUCUGUGCUGCAGGAGGACUCUAUGCUGUAAGUGGGCACUAAUCUCCUUCAUGACUGACCGUGACCUCCCCAAAGCCCCGCCUCUAAAUGCCAGAAUUCUGGGGACUGUGUUCCACUGCAUAAUCUUUGCAGAGACACAACACACCAUGGCGUGGAUCCAGUGUCAUCUGACCUGACUUUUUCUAUCUAUCUGCUUCGUGUUCCUUACAGAGCAGUCCUUGUCCUCAUGGUGAGAGAUGGAGCCACCACAUCAAUACUGCAGUUGGCGGGGAGGAGGAAAGGGCAGGAUAGGCAGGAAAAGUAUCCUGAAUUACCGUGUGUUACGGCUUGUACCUAGAUGUCCCCCAAAGCUUCAUGCAGUCAUAGGUGGG
Long non-coding RNA from Chinchilla lanigera (long-tailed chinchilla), 2088 nucleotides. RefSeq lists it as uncharacterized. Lineage: Eukaryota; Metazoa; Chordata; Mammalia; Rodentia; Chinchillidae. The transcript is spliced from 3 exons. The record is from RefSeq and is a predicted model, not a curated record.